GUUGCAGUUAAAAGCUCGUAGUUGGAUCUAGGGACGCGCAUUUCAAGCGCCCGUGUCGUCGGGUCAAACCGGCGACUGCGUUGGCGUUGCGGGCUCGGUCCGUCGGUGCCCCACAAAGGUUAUCGGCGUGUCAACCGGCCCGCCCGUCCCCUCCUUCUGGAUUCCCGUUCCUGCUAUUGAGUUAGUGGGGACGUCACAGGGGGUCCAUCGUCGACGUGUUUCAACGCGUCGGCGGUGGAUCUCUGGGGCCCAGAUCGUUUACCGUGAAAAAAUUAGAGUGUUCAAAGCAGGCAGAUUCAAUUUUCUGCCACCGAAUACAUUAGCAUGGGAUAAUGGAAUAGGACCCUGUCCUCCUAUUUUCAGUUGGUUUUGGCAGCGCGAGGACUAGGGUAAUGAUUAAUAGGGAUAGUUGGGGGCAUUAAUAUUUAAUUGUCAGAGGUGAAAUUCUUGGAUUUAUGAAAGAUUAACUUCUGCGAAAGCAUCUGCCAAGGAUGUUUUCAUUAAUCAAGAACGAAAGUUAGGGGAUCGAAGACGAUCAGAUACCGUCGUAGUCUUAACCAUAAACGAUGCCGACCAGCGAUUAGGAGACGUUGAAUACAAAACACCACCAUCGGCGCGGUCGUCCUUGGCGUUCGUGUUCACGCACGAGCGCGAGGGCGGUUUAGCCCGAUGGCACCGGUGAAUGACUCCCCUAGCAGCUUGUGAGAAAUCAUAAGUCUUUGGGUUCCGGGGGGAGUAUGGUCGCAAGGCUGAAACUUAAAGGAAUUGACGGAAGGGCACCACCAG
RNAcentral lists this ribosomal RNA (786 nucleotides) under Acanthamoeba sp. RNAcentral's name for it is "SSU rRNA". It matches the Rfam family "Eukaryotic small subunit ribosomal RNA", at positions 612 to 1173 of the family's 1831-position model. Lineage: Eukaryota; Discosea; Longamoebia; Acanthamoebidae. The record is from RNAcentral.